AGCCGACCCCUGGCUAGCCCAGCGCUGGGUUCCGGGCCUCUAGAGGCGCCCCUGCCCCGAGAUCCCCAAAUCGGAGCGCAAACCUACCAGCUACAGCCGUCGCCCCUUGCCCCCUUUAAACAAGCGAACCCUCCUCGUCCCGUUUAGGCCGCCAGAGCCCCUUCCCAGAAGGCUGCCAAGGAAGCGGAGACGCGUGCCGGGAAGGACGCGAGCGAGCCCCGAAGGGCGCGGCGGCGCUGCCAGGCGUCCUCCUGCCCCUCAGCCUCUCUGCGCGCUUCUUUGCCUCGUUUCGCCCCAUCUGGAAAGCAGGUGCAGAACCAAGCCAAGGAGGCCAUGCGGCAGAGCGGCCAGGCAAGGAAGGCGUCGUCGCGUCUCGGGGCCCUGGAUGCCGGCUCCCGGACUGGAGCGGUAUGAGGCUUCGAAUGGCAGCAGCCCUUUCACUGUCAGGUUGAGCAUGAAGCCAACAGACAAAGAAGGCAGAGCCAGGACACUCGCAGAGACAUGGAGCUGGGGCUGCUGGCUUAAAUCAGCCCUGAAGCCUGUCUUGCCUCAAGGAUUCAUUUUCCAAAGCAUGUGUUUCCUCACUGUUUAUGUUGUAGUUCGGUUUUCUGAGAUCUGCAGCCAAAAUUUUUCUACUUAAUACAACGCUUUUCCUUAAGUCAUGGACUUCCCUGGUGGCACAGUGGUUAAGAAUCCGCCUGCCAAUGCAGGGGACACGGGUUCGAUCCCUGGUCUGGGAAGAUCCCACAUGCCUGGGAGCAACUAAGCCUGUGCGCCACAACUACUGAGCCCAUGCACCUCAAAGACUGAAGCUUGAGCGUCUAGAGCCCAUGCUCCGCAACAAGAGAAGCCACCGCCAUGAGAAACCUGCAUGCAGCAAUGAAGAGUAGCCCCCGCUCACCGCAACGAGGACCCAACGCAGCCAAAAAAUACAUCUAUAUUUCAAGUCCUCUUACACAGCAGCUCUUAAUUACCAGUAUGCCUAUAGGGGAUGUUGCUCUCUUUCUCUCUCUCCCUCCCCAAGAUUCAUCUGAACCAGCAAAUGUCACUGCCUUUGGCCAAGUAGCUCUCUGCAGAAACCUGGAAGACAUCUUUGACACCUGUUUCUCCAUCCCUCUCACAUCCAAUCCCGUCACCAAGUCCUGUCAAUUCUACUUCUAUAGUGUGUCAAACGUAAUCCUUGCUAUUUUCGCUGUGCUCAUUCUGACAGGAAUUACUUAAUUUUCUUCCAAAGAACUAGUCUCCCAACUAAACUACCCAAUUCUCUCUCACACUUCUGUUAUUCCAUUCUCCUCAGCAGCCAGAGUGAGUCAUUAAA
Molecule: long non-coding RNA, 1318 nt
Organism: Lagenorhynchus albirostris (white-beaked dolphin)
Lineage: Eukaryota; Metazoa; Chordata; Mammalia; Artiodactyla; Delphinidae
Exons: 4
Source: RefSeq, a predicted model, not a curated record